AUUGAACGCUGGCGGCAGGCCUAACACAUGCAAGUCGAGCGGAUGAAGGGAGCUUGCUCCUGGAUUCAGCGGCGGACGGGUGAGUAAUGCCUAGGAAUCUGCCUGGUCGUGGGGGAUAACGUCCGUAAACGGGCGCUAAUACCGCAUACGUCCUGAGGGAGAAAGUGGGGGAUCUUCGGACCUCACGCUAUCAGAUGAGCCUAGGUCGGAUUAGCUAGUUGGUGGGGUAAAGGCCUACCAAGGCGACGAUCCGUAACUGGUCUGAGAGGAUGAUCAGUCACACUGGAACUGAGACACGGUCCAGACUCCUACGGGAGGCAGCAGUGGGGAAUAUUGGACAAUGGGCGAAAGCCUGAUGCAGCCAUGCCGCGUGUGUGAAGAAGGUCUUCGGAUUGUAAAGCACUUUAAGUUGGGAGGAAGGGAAGUAAGUUAAUACCUUGCUGUCUUGACGUUACCAACAGAAUAAGCACCGGCUAACUUCGUG
RNAcentral lists this ribosomal RNA (484 nucleotides) under uncultured bacterium. RNAcentral describes it as "partial 16S ribosomal RNA". It matches the Rfam family "Bacterial small subunit ribosomal RNA", at positions 30 to 507 of the family's 1533-position model. The record is from RNAcentral.